CUACAAAGGAAUUGACGGGGCCCGCACAAGCGGUGGAGCAUGUGGUUAAUUCGACGCAACGCGAAGAACCUUACCAGGGCUUGACAUCCCCUGACCGCGUAUGAAAGUACGUUUUCACCCUCGGGUGACAGGGAGACAGGUGCUGCAUGGCUGUCGUCAGCUCGUGUCGUGAGAUGUUGGGUUAAGUCCCGCAACGAGCGCAACCCUCGCCUUUAGUUGCCAGCAUUCAGUUGGGCACUCUAGAGGGACUGCCGGUGCCAAACCGGAGGAAGGUGGGGAUGACGUCAAGUCCUCAUGGCCUUUAUGUCUAGGGCUACACACGUACUACAAUGGCCGGUACAAAGGGCAGCCACUCAGCGAUGAGGCGCUAAUCCCAUAAAGCCGGUCUCAGUCCGGAUCGCAGUCUGCAACUCGACUGCGUGAAGUUGGAAUCGCUAGUAAUCGCGGGUCAGCAGACCGCGGUGAAUAUGUUCCCGGGUUUU
Molecule: ribosomal RNA, 482 nt
Filed under: uncultured Desulfovibrio sp.
Lineage: Bacteria; Pseudomonadati; Thermodesulfobacteriota; Desulfovibrionia; Desulfovibrionales; Desulfovibrionaceae
Description: bacterial SSU rRNA
Rfam family: Bacterial small subunit ribosomal RNA
Source: RNAcentral